This is a non-coding RNA of Scytonema millei VB511283, 229 nucleotides long. Lineage: Bacteria; Bacillati; Cyanobacteriota; Cyanophyceae; Nostocales; Scytonemataceae. The record is from Rfam.
GUCAACAACCCCUGGCUCUUGCCUCGGGGCUUCAGGACUAGAAUUUCUCGUCUUUGAUGCCCUUAGUUGACCAGACUAAGUACUUUGAGUACUCCCUUCAUUAGGUCACGACACCCAAGAAUGCGUAGCUAGUUCUUGGCUCUGUCGCUCAACAUUAAACAUCUGUAAUGGGUUAAGGAAGUGUGUUGAGCCUAACAAGCCUAAAGAAGAUUGUCGAAGCUAACAUUAC